Molecule: long non-coding RNA, 1020 nt
Filed under: Strigops habroptila (Kakapo)
Lineage: Eukaryota; Metazoa; Chordata; Aves; Psittaciformes; Psittacidae
Description: lncRNA (ENSSHBG00005017973.1)
Source: RNAcentral
CCGCCGCCACCUCCCCCCGCCCGCUGAAGAGCGCCUGCGAGGGCGGGCGGCGCGGCACUGCACGGCGUAGCGCGGCGCAUCGCGACUCGGCUGGGCUCGGCUCGGCUCGGCUCGGUUCGGUUCUGCACGGGCCGGCGGCAUCCGCGGCUCAGCCGCCAGCGCCCACACACCCGCCGCCAGGCACCCGCCUCCCGCCACCCUUCCUCCUUUUCCUCCUUCUCCUCUUCUUCCUCCUCCUCCUCCUCCUCCACCGGGACUCUCUGCUGGGAUCAGCCCGCCGCCGCUGUUGUUGUUGGCCGGCUCCGCCGCAUCGAGGAUAUCUUGGCUGCCGGAGAGGCAGCGACGCCUCUCUUUCUGGACUCCUGUACGGUGCCGCCGCCGCCGAGGGACGCGGAGGAGCAGGCGAGCGCCGGAGGCCAGGUGAGGUGGGGACGGCGGGAAGGUGGCUCCGCCACCGGCGGAUCUCGGCGGCCGCCCGGGGGAGCCGGGCACGGCCUUCGGCCCCCAUCAUGAGGAGCACGGCCGGGCCCCCUGAGCGACCUCCCCCGCGGGUAUGGCGGGAGCCGCGGCCGGGGAGCGGGCAGAGCCGGCGGGCGACGAGGGUGGUGGGGGCGCCCGGUGAGGUUAACCCGGAGGCGGGCGGGCCGCGUCCGGAGCGGCGGUGGAGCGGGAUGCCGGGGUUGAGGCGGCAGCGCGGCCGGGAGGGAAGGGUUAAUGGGCAGCGCGCACUCUGGAUUUGGUUAGUACUUUAAAGGGGCUUAAAAAAAAACGCUGGGCUGAAUGAUUUCCCCGUCUAACUUUUAUGUGGGCGAGUGUGUCAUAUGUGCGAAAAGUCAUACCGGCUAUCUCGCUCAUCCCUGCUCGGGGAGCCCGAGAGCUGCGCGGAGGAGCAGCGCGGCUGUGUCUUAACCUAUUGGUACCAAGGUGGUUUGGCUAAAAAAAUUGCCAUUUAAAAGCAAAACACCAGCCAGACACCUCCUCAAGUUUAAAAAAAAAAAAAACAACACGCAAACAAAAAAA